Molecule: ribosomal RNA, 372 nt
Filed under: uncultured bacterium
Lineage: Bacteria
Description: bacterial SSU rRNA
Rfam family: Bacterial small subunit ribosomal RNA
Source: RNAcentral
ACGGAGGGUGCGAGCGUUAAUCGGAAUUACUGGGCGUAAAGCGCGCGUAGGCGGUUUGUUAAGUCGGAUGUGAAAUCCCCGGGCUCAACCUGGGAAUGGCAUUCGAUACUGGCCGACUAGAGUACGAGAGAGGGAGGUAGAAUUCCACGUGUAGCGGUGAAAUGCGUAGAUAUGUGGAGGAAUACCGGUGGCGAAGGCGGCCUCCUGGCUCGAUACUGACGCUGAGGUGCGAAAGCGUGGGUAGCAAACAGGAUUAGAUACCCUGGUAGUCCACGCCGUAAACGAUGUCUACUAGCCGUUGGGAGACUUGAUUUCUUAGUGGCGCAGCUAACGCACUAAGUAGACCGCCUGGGGAGUACGGCCGCAAGGUUA